CCGGCCCCGGCGCCCAGCCCGCCCGGCGCGCCGCUGCCCCCCCCCCCCCGCACCCGCCGCGCUAGGCCUUCUUGCACUUGCCCUUCUUCUCGCGCUGCUGGAACUUGCGCAGCCGCCGCGCCCACGUGUCCCGCCACUGGAUCACCAGGCUGCUCUUGUCCGCCACGAUGCCGCUCUGGUCGGGCGAGUCCUCCGCGUUGCCCAGCAGUAGGUACUUCUUGAGGGGCUUGAUUUUGGGGCACUUGCAGGCGAUGUCCCGCGAGCGGAUCCACAGAUUCUGGUCACCGCGGCGGAUGCGGCUGGUGCCCUGCUUGUACACGGAGAUGAUGUUCACCGUAAACUUCCACCAGUCCCCUGCCUUGUCCGCCUUCAGGAUGUGGAUCUGGACGGCUGCAAGGAAGCACAGGCAGGAGGGUGGGCCACGGGUGCCGCCUGGACCCCGAGCUCCUGCGACCAGGAGGGCCAGGGAUGGGGCAGCCUGUUUGAUGGAGAAGGGAAAGAAGACCCGGAGCAGUGAAGUGACUGCAUGGGGUACCCGACUAGGAGUGGGUGUGUGGUGGCAAAGCUGAUACUGGGGCCAAGGCCGCUGUUCCAGGAAGCCGUAUGUCCUGUGUUUUAGGUGCCACCCGGCACUGUCUUUGGGGACAAGCCCCUUUAGGGUCCAGGAAGGUGCUGUAGGUUCUUACCACAUCCCCAGAACUCUGGGCAGAAUCCAGCUGCCGGGGUAGGUGCCCUCCAUGAGCAUAGCACUGGCCACUCGGCACAGGCUCCGGGGAACCUCCUCAGGUGGCACCCCCUGGGCAUUUCCAAAGGCCCCGUCACUUAACAUCAAGCCUCAUGACACCCCUAGACAUACAGCCUUGCCCUUGACCCAAUCUCAGAAAACCAGAAUGGGGUCUCAGUGCCCAGGUGCAGUGCACGCUCAACAGCCCUUCGGGGUGGCUGCCGCUCUCCUCCGGAGUCCAGGGCCCUGUGCUGCCCGCCUCCCAUCCCUGCCAGACUGCCUCGUCUCCCUGGCCUCCUGAUCCUCCCCCAGUCCUCAGGCCCUUCCCCUCCCUUUCAAUUCUCUGCUCCUCCUUCCCUGAGUAGAAGGGGUUCUCAAGCUGGAGCAGGCAUCAGAAACUUCUGGAGGGCUCGUCAAACACAUGGCUGGCCUCACCCCAAUUUCCUAUUCCAUAGAUGUGGACUGGGGCCCAGGACCGCACACCUCACACAUUCCCAGAUGCUGUGGGUCCAGGGAACACACUUUGAGAAUCAGUGCUCUAGUAAACGUUAACAGGUGUUCUUUCUGCAGGAUAUUAAGAGAUACUUCAUAAAAGGAGGACAUACUUUUUUAAGGGGGGGGAUUUUGCUCAAAUAUGUGAAAAUACUGGCUUAAACAAAGGAAGUCGCCUUAGUGCAGGACUUUUCUGAGCCUUUAAUCUACAAAGCGUGUGCAGACACGCGUGUGUUUGCUUCCCAAACAACUGACUGCAGGACCCUUUGGCUGGUGCAUCUCAAGGCACCAGAGCCCCAUGGAGCCUACCUGGGGAACUUCUGGUGGUGGUGGUGAUGGUGGGAGAGAGACACAACCAUUCCAGGGGUAAGUGCAGAGGUCUCUGCUGUACUAACCCCCGUCCGAGGGAAACUUGGACUCCUUCCCCCCCCGUCAGAACAUGGCGCCUUCCCCUUGCCACCACGUCCGGUAUACCCCUGGACAGGCUGAAGAAUCUGGACCUGAGCCCGCCUGAGAAAGGAGCUUGUCUCCCCAGAUUACAGGUGAAGGGACCGAAAUAAGGUGCGCUCCAGCCACGAGGACAUGUCCCCAGGGAAUGCCAUGAGCUGUUCCUGGGCAUCCUCAACUUUGCACUCCAGUCUGAGGGCUCCAAAGAAUGGCUGCCAUGGCAACCGUUUCCAUGUUUCUGUCACCAAGGGACUCAACACUCAGUGUGAACUCUGAGGUGGGGGUGGGGAGCCCUCCAGCCUGGAGAAGUGGCUGGGCUCUGUAUGUGUUUGACUGCGCAGACAGAGGUCACCGUGGCAACUGCGUGCCCCUCAGCUAAGCAAACGGGGAGCCGUCCCCAGCAUCCCCGAGAGCCCCGGUUUCCUCUCCUUGGGACUGAGCUGAAUACAGAAUGAGCCUCCCCCAGGAUGCAGCUGUUUGCCUGUGCGGGACCUCAGACCCCCGGCCCAGCCACAGUGUCCCCCCAGCCAGGGUGGGCUGGGGUGGCCAACAAGGAUGCUGCAGAAGGCACCUCUGGUGAGAACGUGGCUUUGAUCACAUGUUGGUGUUAAGAGCUGAACUGUGUAUCUCCCCCCCACACCCCGCCGGCAAAAUUAAUACAUUGAAGUCCUAACCCCCA
Molecule: long non-coding RNA, 2342 nt
Organism: Lagenorhynchus albirostris (white-beaked dolphin)
Lineage: Eukaryota; Metazoa; Chordata; Mammalia; Artiodactyla; Delphinidae
Exons: 2
Source: RefSeq, a predicted model, not a curated record